This 492-nucleotide ribosomal RNA is filed under the name uncultured bacterium. RNAcentral's name for it is "partial 16S ribosomal RNA". It matches the Rfam family "Bacterial small subunit ribosomal RNA", at positions 29 to 507 of the family's 1533-position model. The record is from RNAcentral.
AGUGAACGCUGGCGGUAGGCCUAACACAUGCAAGUCGAACGGCAGCACAGUAAGAGCUUGCUCUUACGGGUGGCGAGUGGCGGACGGGUGAGGAAUACAUCGGAAUCUACUUUUUCGUGGGGGAUAACGUAGGGAAACUUACGCUAAUACCGCAUACGACCUACGUGUGAAAGCAGUGGAUCUUCGGACCUUGCGCGCUGGAAUGAGCCGAUGCCGGAUUAGCUAGUUGGCGGGGUAAAGGCCCACCAAGGCGACGAUCCGUAGCUGGUCUGAGAGGAUGAACAGCCACACUGGAACUGAGACACGGUCCAGACUCCUACGGGAGGCAGCAGUGGGGAAUAAUGGACAAUGGGCGCAAGCCAGCUCCAGCCAUACCGGGUGGGUGAAGAAGGCCUUCGGGUUGUAAAGCCCUUUUGUUGGGAAAGAAAAGAAGAAGGUUAAUACCCCGCUGUUCUGACGGUACCAAAAGAAUAAGCACCGGCUAACUUCGUG